This 798-nucleotide ribosomal RNA is filed under the name Paracoccaceae bacterium. RNAcentral's name for it is "Rhodobacteraceae bacterium (freshwater metagenome) partial 23S ribosomal RNA". It matches the Rfam family "Bacterial large subunit ribosomal RNA", at positions 1 to 843 of the family's 2925-position model. The record is from RNAcentral. Lineage: Bacteria; Pseudomonadati; Pseudomonadota; Alphaproteobacteria; Rhodobacterales; Paracoccaceae.
GUUAUAUGAUCAAGUAAAAGAAGAGCACAAGGCGGAUGCCUUGGUAGCAGAAGGCGAUGAAGGACGUAGUAACCUGCGAAAAGCUUCGGGGAGCUGGUAAACAAGCUUCGAUCCGGAGAUGUCCGAAUGGGAAAACCCAGCAUGCAUAAGCAUGCUAUCUUAUACUGAAUACAUAGGUAUAAGAGGCAAACCUAGGGAACUGAAACAUCUAAGUACCUAGAGGAAAAGAAAUCAACCGAGAUUCCGGUAGUAGCGGCGAGCGAAACCGGAGCAGCCCUUAAGCUUUUAUUAGUCUAACAAAAUAUUCUGGAAAGUUUAGCCAUAGUAGGUGAUAGCCCUGUAUGUGAAAGACUAGUUUAAGUGAAAUCGAGUAGGUCGGGACACGUGAAAUCUUGACUGAAUAUGGGGGGACCAUCCUCCAAGGCUAAAUACUCUCUGCUAACCGAUAGUGAACCAGUACCGUGAGGGAAAGGCGAAAAGUACCCCUGCAAGGGGAGUGAAAUAGAACCUGAAACCUUGUGCUUACAAGCAGUCGGAGCUGACUUGUUCAGUGACGGCGUACCUUUUGUAUAAUGGGUCAACGACUUAAUUUCAGUAGCAAGCUUAACCAAUUAGGGGAGGCGUAGGGAAACCGAGUCUUAAUAGGGCGUUUAGUUUCUGGAAUUAGACCCGAAACCGGGUGAUCUAUCCAUGGCCAGGGUGAAGGUCGAGUAACAUCGACUGGAGGCCCGAACCCACUUAUGUUGAAAAAUGAGGGGAUGAGCUGUGGAUAGGAGUGAAAGGCUAAUCAAACCCGGA